AUGGCGGCGGUGCCGCUCGGCGUGCUGCGUCGGCGGGAGGUCACGAGCGAGCGGAUGGAGCGCCCGGACGUGCUCCGCGGUGAGGCCAGCCGCAGCCGCAAGGGCGAGGACAUCACGCUGCUCCUCGCCGACACCGGCCAACACGUCGCCGCGCCCGCUUCCCCUGCCCUCUCUCUCGAGAAGCUGUUUGAUGGCCACCAUGGAUCUAGAGCAGCCAAAUACGCAAAGAACAAUCUGCUGAACAAUGUCCCGCGUGCUACCCCUUCAAGUUUGACCAGGGAUGAGUGGCUUGCAGUGCUUCCACAUUCACUCGUUGCAGCAUUUGUUGAGAUAGAUAAGUAUAUGCAAGCCGCGGCUGAAAGUUCUGGUACAACUGUGACAUUUGUGAUAAUAGACGAGUGGGUUGUAACAGUGCCAUCGGUUGGUGAUUCACGCUGCAUACUAGAGUCAAUUGAUGGUUCCCUAUACCAUUUGUCAGCUGAUCAUCGCUUUGACUUCAACCGAGAUGACGUAAUUUGUUGAGAAUUGUGCAAUUUAUGACCUGUACAACUGAAUGCUGUUGGUGGUCCAGAGGUUGGUCCUUUAAGAUGCUGGCCAGGUGGUUUGUGCCUAUCUAGUUCAAUCGUGGAUAUAGAUGUUGGUGAAUGCAUCAUCCCGUUCCCCACGUGAAUCAAUUUAUUGCAGUGACCCAAUGCUGGAGGCAGAAUUAUCAUUGCAAGCGAUGGUGUGUGCGAUGAUUUGACUUUUGAAAUGGCUCUUGAAUGUUCUCGUGGAUACCCUUCUGAUAUAUAUGACAAUCGAAUUGUCAAUGAAGAAAUCCUACCUCAAGGACUAAGAGAUGAUACUACCUGCAUCGUGGUGGACAUACUACCUCCAGAAACACUAGCUCCUAGUCCUCCAAGAAAGUGGCAGGGGAAAACCAUACUCAAUAAUAUGUUCCACGUUGAUCUGAAAAAUAACAUGUUCCGCCGAAAAAAUUCAGAUGCAUCUUUUUAACUAGGUAGAGAAUAUGGUGAGCCGGAUGUGGUGGAAGGAAUAUUCAUGGACGGGUCUGCCAUGCUUUCAAGAAGAUAUAUUUUGUUAACCAACAUUCUAGGCUUUUUUCACUUGGGGUGCUAG
Molecule: ribosomal RNA, 1119 nt
Filed under: Triticum aestivum (bread wheat)
Lineage: Eukaryota; Viridiplantae; Streptophyta; Magnoliopsida; Poales; Poaceae
Description: partial small subunit ribosomal RNA
Source: RNAcentral